CUGGCUCAGAUUGAACGCUGGCGGCAGGCUUAACACAUGCAAGUCGAACGGUAGCAGGAAGAAGCUUGCUCUUGCUGACGAGUGGCGGACGGGUGAGUAAUGCUUGGGAAUCUGGCUUAUGAGGGGGAUAACUACUGGAAACGGUAGCUAAUACCGCGUAAUGUCUACGGACUAAAGGGUGGGACUUUCGGGCCACCUGCCAUAAGAUGAGCCCAAGUGGGAUUAGGUAGUUGGUGAGGUAAUGGCUCACCAAGCCUGCGAUCUCUAGCUGGUCUGAGAGGAUGACCAGCCACACUGGAACUGAGACACGGUCCAGACUCCUACGGGAGGCAGCAGUGGGGAAUAUUGCACAAUGGGGGGAACCCUGAUGCAGCCAUGCCGCGUGAAUGAAGAAGGCCUUCGGGUUGUAAAGUUCUUUCGGUGAUGAGGAAGGUGUUUUGUUUAAUAGACAAAGCAAUUGACGUUAGUCACAGAAGAAGCACCGGCUAACUCCGUGCCAGCCGCCGC
RNAcentral lists this ribosomal RNA (507 nucleotides) under uncultured bacterium. RNAcentral describes it as "bacterial SSU rRNA". It matches the Rfam family "Bacterial small subunit ribosomal RNA", at positions 19 to 518 of the family's 1533-position model. The record is from RNAcentral.